This 507-nucleotide long non-coding RNA is filed under the name Triticum aestivum (bread wheat). RNAcentral describes it as "long non-coding RNA (TAES_LNC003917)". The record is from RNAcentral. Lineage: Eukaryota; Viridiplantae; Streptophyta; Magnoliopsida; Poales; Poaceae.
UUUGGGACCAACGGCAUGCUUACUUUUUAUGUACUGAAAGACAAGCAUCUACUAUUCCAAUUAACCAAUAAUUCUGUAUUAUUCAUCCUUACAAAAAAAAGCUGUCAGGAAAAUGGCAUGCUCAGUUGGAUGGCAUUUUCUCCUUCACGCUGCAGCAGAAGCCCUUCGGCCCAAUCCCACCACAGCAGGCUUUAGACAGAUCCAAACCAUGGAUUGCACACAGUGCUUGGCACGACUUAUCCGCGCAGUCUUCCAAAGGGUAACAUAGGUAUGCGAGCUCUGCAGAUCAUGCACAGCAAAGACAACAACCAGUUAGCUAGUAUACAUACUGCACUAGAUCUUUUUUAUUUGUUGGAACAUGAAAAUAUAUGAGUACAUAAUAAAAGGAUUAUUUGCGACAAGGAAAUAAAAAUACCUUUGCUGCACUUUGCUGCUGCUGCUUGGCAAGACCAAAAACUGGUGCACAUGACCAGUAGAGCUACCAAACACAUAGCCUUCUUGUUGUUG